RNAcentral lists this ribosomal RNA (162 nucleotides) under uncultured bacterium. RNAcentral describes it as "partial 16S rRNA". It matches the Rfam family "Bacterial small subunit ribosomal RNA", at positions 355 to 511 of the family's 1533-position model. The record is from RNAcentral.
UAGGGAAUCUUCCACAAUGGACGCAAGUCUGAUGGAGCAACGCCGCGUGAGUGAAGAAGGUCUUCGGAUCGUAAAACUCUGUUGUUAGAGAAGAACACGAGUGAGUAACUGUUCUUGUAUUGACGGUAUCUAACCAGAAAGCCACGGCUAACUACGUACCAG